Homo sapiens (human) is the source of this 16571-nucleotide long non-coding RNA. RefSeq lists it as uncharacterized. The transcript is spliced from 2 exons. The record is from RefSeq and is a predicted model, not a curated record. Lineage: Eukaryota; Metazoa; Chordata; Mammalia; Primates; Hominidae.
CUCUCUUUGCCUGCCACCAUCAGUGUAAGAUGUGACUUGCUUCUCCUUGUCUUCUGCCACGAUUGUGAGGCCUCCCCAACCACAUGGAACUCUUACUAGUGUCUGAUGAUGUGCCAUGUAGUGUUAUGGAUGCUGUGGAGGAAUACAACAUUCAUGGAAUUCACAUUCAUGGAACUCACAUUUAGUGGGAAAGAGAGCUAUGGGAAUUAAAUUUGGCCAUACUUUGGACUUAAAUACUGAAUGAAUGAAUGAAUGAAUGAAUGAAUACAAAGCAGACCAUGAUAAGAACUAGGAGAAAGAAUGAAGAGGUAAGAAUGAUUGAUUUUGGAAAUCCUUAUGGAAGAAGUGGCUCCUCAGUGGAGGAAGGGUAAAGAGCAGCAUUCUGUGCUGAGGGAUAAGCAUGAGCAAAGGGAAAGAAGGCUCUAAAGUGUGAAUGGUUGAGGGACAAGUGGUCAGCCAGCAAAACAGCUUAGGACCAGGUCUCCAACAGCAUGCUGAAAGGCAUUGACUUUAUUGUUUAGACAGUGUAGAACUAUCGUGGGUUAUUUAGGAAGAUUCUUCAGAAGUUGACAAUUAUAGCAGAUAAAACUUUUUUUUCGUUAAAGGAUAAUACCUUUUUACAGAGUAAAACUGAAGUGAUGUAGUUAAGUACAAAGUGCUGACACUAUUCUGAACAUUUUGCAUAUAUCAUCUCACUUAGUUAUCACCAUGCAGGGUAGAAAGUAGAUAGAAAUUGUCCCCGUUUUUCAGAUGAGAACUCAAAGAAGUAGAGCCCAGAAUUCAAACUAAGGUCUGCUGACUGCAAGGUCUGCACUUGCCGCUUCUUGUGCUGCUCCCUGCAGAGGUUUGACUUAGGUUAAUUAGCAUAUCAAGCAGCAUAAACUGAACUUUUAAUAUGCAUGUGGCUUUGGAAGACAGGAAAAAGCAACAGCAGAGCUAGCAUUACUGAUGGUACUUGUUUGUAGGGGCAGAGACCAGCCCCCAUCCUUUUGUCUUAUCUACCAUAGCAUAGCAACUAGGGGACAACCACAUGUGACAUUGGGCAGCUUUGACAAUGGCCAGGCAGUCCAGCCCAUGAGCCUGCUCUGUCCUUCCUUAGACAGGCACUAGCUUCCUGAGCCUGGGCAGCACCAUCGUAUCUGCAAAACUCAGACUCACAGUAUUGCCUCUCCGCAUCCACAGGCCUCAGCUUAUGCUAGUGCCCCUCUGUAUCACCUGUCCUAUGACUGCUGUCCCUGCUGCCUCUUGCCUCUGGAAUCCUCUGUUCCUCCUUGGUGCACCUAAAGCCCUUAAAUGUAGAACAGCUAUGACUAUUCAUUCACCGUGCUGUCCCUGGGCAGUGCUUUAGCAACAUUCGGUUUGCCUAUUUGUCCAUUCAUGAAUUCAUUUAUUAAGAAGCUGUACCAUGCAAUAGGAAGAGUACUGGGACAGAAUACCUGAGUACUAGACAAGCUGCUGACACCUUGGGCAGGCCACUUUCCUUCUACAGGCCUCCUUUUCUUUAUGGAUAAAAUAGGAGAAUUGAGUAAGAUAAUCUUUGAGGUCUCUACUAGCUCUCUCACUUUGAGGCUGUUUUGUUUAGCUGUAAAUUCACACCUUCAUCCUAACAUGGGGUUAGGGAAUGCUUCUUAGAAGAGAUGAUCCUUGAAGUGGGUCUUAACGGAUGAGUAUGAAGAAGAGAAAGGUAUUCCAGGGAAUAUGAUCAACAUGAACAAAAGUAUGGAGAAGGCAUGGCAAACUGGGGGAAAUGAGGGCCUCUGGAGGGGAGCAGAGCAGUGGGAGACAAGGCUACAGUGAUGGCUACGUUCAGAUCGUAAAAGCUUUAAUGUCAGGCUAAGGAACUAGAACUUCAUCCUGUGGGGUAAAGGUGCAGGAAAGGUUUUAAAGCAGAGAAAUGACUUGAUUUGAUCUAUUUUUAGAAGCUAGUACUGUUCAACAGAGAAACCUGGGAGGAAUGGCAGUGGUUUCAAUCUUGUGGCUUUGUAAGAUAUUAAUUUGGUAAGUUUUUGCUUUUUAGCGAGACAAGAUGCUACCGACCUAUUGGAUAGGGGAUGUCAUGAUUUACAGUCUGACUGUGGCUCUAGAAUCCCCAUCAGACUCCUUUAUCCAGAUUCUGCCCCAUUCUAGUUGGCAACUCCAGGCCUAGGCCAAAGCCAGCCCUUUUCUCUUCCCAUGACAACCAAGCCAAACAGCUGACUUAGGAAGCUCCACAGUGUAGCCCUUGCGGCACGCAUGCAUGUGUCAGUAGGUCCUCAUGUGUGCUCACUGCUUCAUAGUGUAUCAGGCUCUUUGACUCACCAACUCUUUUCAUUCUUACAGUAACUCUGAAGUUCUCAGAGAAAGUACAAUCCCUACUGUACAGUGGGGAAAUGGAAUCUCAGAAGGAUUGCAUGAUUUGCCCCAAGCAGCAUAAUGUAGUGUAAGGGGCAUGAGGCCUUGGAGUUGUUAAGUCAUGGGUUCCAUUUCCAGUUCUGCUGCUUAAUAUCUUGAUAUCUGACCACGGGCAAGAUUGCCACCCUCUCUAAACUGUGGGUUUCUCAUCCUUAAAGACUGAGAUAAUAAUAGCUUCUGUAUGUGUGUAUCAUUGGAGCGAAUUAUGUGGUUUAUGGAAAAGCUCUUGGCACAGAGUAGGUGCUCAGAAUGUCUGUUUCUGUUUCCUCUGACUCACUUCAGUGCUCUUUCUGGUGUUUCGCCUUGCUUCCCAUAUGGCCCUCUUUGUCAUCUCUCUUGCUCCUCUAUUCUUAAGUCAAUGCCACAGACAUGCAUUACUGGAAAUGUUCUUCCUGGGUACACAAUAUGAAGCUAAGCCUUGUGGAUGAAGUGAGAGGACAUAGGAAAUGGCCCUUUCCCUCACUGCUUGCUACCUGAUUAUUGUGGGUGUUAGGGUGGAGAGGGUUUAGCCUUCACUCUUGAAACAAAGCUGAGGUGAUCUGACCAUCUCAUGAUGAUCCCUUCUUGCUCCUCAGGGAACUUACUGUAUGCCAAGUGCCGGACUCAACUCUUACACUGUCUCACUAAGCUCUUACACACUGUUACAUCCACUGUGUGUGUAUCUUACAUACGCUUCUGUAUUCUUAACAUAUAACCCUGUUCUACAGAUGAGGAAAAUGAGGCUCAGAAAAGCUAAACCUAUUAAGAUCUUAAACUCAUAUUUGAUGAAACCAGGAUUUGAGCUAGGUUAUCUGAUUCUGGAGCAUGCACUCUUAAAUUAGAUUACCUUUUGUUUAUUACAAAAUAGUGUAUGUACAUAGUUUAAAAAUUUUCUAAAUACUAAAAGGCUUAGUAAUGGCAAUUUCUGCCUCACCUUUUCCCACUCUUUUGUCCAAUUUCCGGAGCCAACCAUUUUGAAUUAUUUUGGGGUGUCUAUCUCUAUAUUUCUAAACUAAAUGUCUAUUUAAGAUAUCAAUUUUAAAAUAAAUUUUAUCUGUUGCUUUCUUAUAAAUAAAAAUUUAAUUAUCUUAUACCACCACCUUCAUUUCCCUUCCCUCCAUCCUCACGUGUAGUUAAGUCAUUAGUCUAUUAUUAUGAGUAGUGUAAAUACUGUUCUCACUGCUAAGCCAAGUAAUAUAUCAUGAUAUGGUUCCUAUGCUAUACUUUUCUUUUCCUGGAGUUAAACUUGCCUGUUUAUUUUCCCCUUCCUUUAACUGACUUUCUAUAUACCAAUUACUAAUUGUUCCCAAAUGCCUCCAAAACAUCUAUAAAACACCUCUUACACGCUUUGCAACAUGGUCAAAGACGUCAACUCUUUCAGCAGUCUCCCCACCCCCACUUUCACCACAUGCCACUCUGGGGUUCAGCCUUUCUGUUCCACUCUGAAAUGGUUACUCUAGGCCUGCACCGUGGUUACGUGAUGACUUCUCUAUACCAUUUCCCUGUGUUAAAUCCCUGUUCCCUAUCUUCCUUCUUCUUUAGAUUAGUCUCAUUUUGGUGGGGCACAGGACUCAGUACCUUUCCCGGAAAAGAGGAGUUGAAGAUAAAUUUUUUGGUUCUUUGAAAUUCUGAAAAUAUACUUACUCUAUUUUCACAUUUGAUUGACACUUUCACUGUUUGUAGAAAUCUAGGUUGGCAAUUUUUUUCAUUCUGACUUUUGCAUGCAUUUCCCAUUGUCCUCUAGCAUCUAAUGUUACUAUUGAGAAGUCUGCUGCUUUUUCUAAUUCCUGUUUCUUUGUACGUUGCCAUUUUUUUUUCCUUGAAAUUCUUAGGAACUUCUCUUUACUUCAGUGUUUUGAAAUUUUAUGAUGACAUGCCUUGAUAUGUAUCUUCUUUAUUCAUUGUUCUGGUAUUUAUUGAGCCUUCUCAGUCCAGAGGCUUAGGCCUGCCAGUUCUGGGAAAUCUUUCUUGAAAUUGUUUUACAAUUUUUUCCUUAUUUUUCUUUGUUCUGUCUUUCAGGGACUUCUAUUGAAUGUAUAUUGAAUUUCCUGACUCCUAAUUUUCUUAUCUUUUCUUUCCUCUUGGGCAUGUUUUUACUUUUCUUACCACUUUGUGAGAAAAUUUUUUGACUUGAUCUUCCAACUUUUCUAAUGGAACUUUUAUUCAGCUAUUAUUUUUAAUUUCUAAGGUUCUUUCUUAUUUUUAAUCCUUUAAAAUAGUUUUCUGUUCUUGUUUAUAUUGCCAUAUCAUCUAUCAUUUUUCUAUGGAUAUUAAUUAUAGAGUUUAAACAAAUGUUUUCUUCUCUGCCUUGACUCUGUUUUUUUCCAAUUUUUAAUUUUCUAUUUCUUUGUUUUGGGUUCUGUCUUUCACACUGGAGACUGUGCUUUAUGUUUUUUGUUUGCCCUGUAGAUGCAUUAUCCACCUUUUUUCACACUCCAUAUAUCCCUAGGGAGGAUGGCCUCUCUAUGGCCUGCAUCAACUGGCCCUCUGGCUUCUGGUUGGGUUCAGCUAAUGAGAGGAACGGCAGAUCUCAGGACUGAAAAACAACGAGGUCAGGGUAUUUAUUCUCCUAGCUUCUCCCUGCUUACCUGCCAUGGCUGCAUCCCUCUAUCAGGGAUUCCAGUCUGGUGUCCCUCUCCUUAACUUCACCCUCUCCAAUUCACCCUCUCCAAGGGUAACCACUCCUUUCCCUUACUUCUUCAGGCUUAGAGGUGGUAGAGCUCUAGUUUUAUCUAGUAGUCCUGGAAUAUAAACAUUGUCCAUACCUCUGUAAAUGGUUCCUUUAUUAAACUCUCACCUGCUGUCCAGUUUGAUGUGGUCUUCUGCUGAGAUUCUAACUGAUACAGAGGUUUUCCUCUCUAAAGAUCUGAUGAUCUUUAGCUGGCUGUUUAUAUUGAAAAGAGAUACUACAUGAGACUCUGUGGGCAUGGGGAGGAUGCACUGGCUGCUGACUUCCUUGUAAGAUGUUUGGACUGAUGAGUUGGGGAAGCUUUUCCAUUGGUAAACUUCCAGAGAUCAAUAUUUAUGAACUUUUCCCCUAAUCUUCUGUCUUGGGGUGUAUAUGCUUAGUUGUUGACUUUCUGGAGCAGGAUGCCGGAAGGGGGCUGGGGGGAGUCCCAUCAUCCUUUACAUAGACUGUCACUUACUCACUUAACCCAUUUGUUUCAUUCUGAUCCUCACUCCCACCCUCUGAUGACUCUUCUUCCAGGUCCAGGGCUGCCCUGGGUCAGUUUCGCCAGAUAAUAAAUGUGUGGUGUUCGUUAGGUAUAGCAAGAGAUAGGUUGCCUAGUUAUGUGUGUUGGGGAGAAUCUGGGCAUCUAACUACCCCCCAUAAAUAUACUUUCAGGCAACGCCUCUGAUUUCAGCCCUAUCCUUACCCGACUUUCAAAGACACUUGGUGCUUCUCAGUCCUGAGGCUUUUCAUUGUCUUCCAAGACAAAAUUUGUUUCCUUCUCACUGUUCCCUGCAGCAGGCACAGGGUUUCAGCCUCCUCCACUCUGCAUAAUCAGUUACCUCCUUCAUCUGUGGUAUUCAUCUGAAAUGUGUUGAACUAUCUUGUUUCUUCUUCUAUUCCUCUUUUCUUGGUGGAUUCAUACUUUCUUUGUUCCUUUACAGUUGGCUUAAGAGGGUUUUGGAAGGAAAUAGAGAUAAAGGUGUGGGCUCAAUCUAUCCCGAUUAAUGGAAGUUCCUACUGCUCUUUGUAGGCCACAGCUGACAAGGAUAGAGAAAGUGGUCCCACAGUGGCCCUGAGAAUGUGAGGCAGGCUGGAAGUUGUGUGACUGCACAGUAUGACAGAAGGGAAGCCACUCAAAGCUGAAGCCUUGGCACCGUGGCCUUUGUAUUUGUGAGUUUUGUGAGUCUGUUCAUUUUAUUCGGGCAGCACCUCUGAGAUGAAUACUUCUUGUGAAGGAAAUUUACUAAGAUCAGCUGGGAACUUACUUGAAGAAGUUUUCACCAAAUGGCAUUACAUAGCAAGAAGGGGGAAAAAUAUGGGGAGCUCUUAGACAGAUGCUUUUUAAAAUUUUAAUUUUGCCAAAUGGCGAGGGUAGCCAAAGAAGACGUAUAUGCUUCUAGUCUGGGAGGGACUGCUUUUCAGAGCGGGGAGAAGCAAAAUCUUAGCUGAUCUAAUGUAAGAAGAACCCUGGGGUCAUAGAACCACAGACUUUCAUGGUGGAGGGGACUUUAGAAACAGCCUAAUCUUUACAGAAGAGGAAAUUAAGGCCUAAGUUUGGAAAUGAUUUGCCCUAAGUCACACAGCAAGUUAUGGGCUAUGUCCGGAACGGUCACCCACAAGUCCUAACUUCAGCUGGCACAUUACACCCCUCUGGAGAUAGAACGUCGGCAACUUUAGAGGUGAGCUCCAAAGGUCCCACCUUUGUCACUGUGACCUAGCAGUCCAUGGCCUCAGGAGCCCUUGACUUGGCUUGUUUCUGGGUAGUUUCUGCUACUCACCCAUACUGGAGAUAUUAUAUUCUCCAUUUCCCUAGGCUGCAUAGGUUUGUACCAAACCAGUGCUAUGCCAAAUUGUAGACCUGUUUAGACAUGUUUCCUUUCGUUUCAUUAUUUUUGGGGGCUCUGCCAAGGCUCACCAUAUGAACUCAAAUGUGAUUUAAGAAACAAAAAAAGAUAAUGACUUCAAUAGCUUGGCUUUUUAGGAAAGUUAAGGGGGAAGAAGAGUCCAGGAAGCCAACACACUGUGUGACCAACUGUCAAAUAUUUAUUGAACCAUAAUAACAGUAAUAGUUGACAUUAUUGAUCUAUGUGUGGUUUUACACAUUUUACAUACAUUAUUAAUUGAUUCUUUACAUCAACAGUAAGGUAGGUACUAUUAUUAUACCUGUUUCACAGAUGGGGAAACUAUGGCAGAGAGGGUAACUUGCUCAAGGAGGAGAACCUUGUCCUGGGUACUCUGCAGCUUAAGGACUUGGGUAUCUAAAGACACAGGUUCAUAAUUAGCAAUAUUCUCUCAAAUUAUUCAGUAACAGAUUGUUAAGAGCUGCAAAGGGGUCUCUUUUGGCUGCCAAAAGGCUCCAGCUGCAGCCUGUCUCCAUGAAGGCAUAGAAGGGGACCAUUUCACUUUUUCUGAAAACUGGGAAUUUAUUACACAAAGGAUGAUGAAUUCAGGAUCUAAAGGGUGGAAUAUGAAAAGAAGUCAACAAAGUAAUGUGUAAUUGGGAAUCAAUAUAAGAGAGGGCCUAGUGGUAGAAAUGGUAAGUCUUGGGUAUUGACUGAGUCAGCUUGCACUAGGGAGGCCAGAGCACAGGGGAGCCAGCCAUGGGCAGCAGAGAUAUUGACAGAGGGUAAAGGAUGAGCUUGUUAGUUAUAUUGCCUUUAAAUUGUCAGUGGGAUAGGCAGUGGGGUAGUCUGAAGACAUUCCUAUAAAAGAGGCCUAGAGAGGAAAUUUGUGGGUUAGGGGUGGGGAUGUGGUUUUCAGUAUCUUGCAUUACAGGACCACAUCUGUGCCCACACUGCAGAAUAACCUUUGUCCAUUCUAGAGAGAGCCUGCAAAGUACAGAUGACCAUGGUAUACUUGGGAAUGUUGGGUUUAUAGAAUUAAAGUGGGUUGGUGCUGGAAAGGAUCUCAGAAGCCAACUGUUCCCAAUCUUCAUCUGUAAGUGAAAUAUUCAAGUCUUAGAAGGGGCAGUGAUAUGUUUCAGUUGUGAGCCAGCCAGAGGACCUGCCCAGGCAGACUAAGAAAGCAGAUCUCCCACCACUCAGCCCAGGCCCCUUUGCUUCAAAUCGUGUCUCAGAGGGAGAACAGUAGUUCCCCUUAUCUGCAGUUGCACUUUCUACAGUUUCUGUUACCUGCAGUCAGCCACAGUCCGAAAAUACUCAAUGGAAAAUUCCAGAAAUAAUGCAAAAGUUUCACAUUUUGAGUAGCGUGAUGAAAUCUCAUGCCAUGUCACUCCAUCCCACCCAGAACAUGAAUCAUCUCUUUGUCCAGUGUGUCCAUGAUGUAUAUACUAUCCGCCUGUUACUGUAUAGGAAAAAAUAGCAAAUAUAUAUAGUUUGGUACUAUCUGAGAUUUCAGGCAUCCCUUGGGGGUCUUGGAACAUGUCCCCUGAAGAUAAGGGGGCACUACUGUAUUUAAAACUGUGACAGUUUCCAAAUCCAGUACUGACUGUCCCCUAGUGAAGAUGUCUUUUUAAUCUGGCUCCUUAAACUGUCCAGGUACCUUUGUUAAUCUUCAAUUUUAAAAUGAAAUUUAAAUUACCUUAAGUAAUUUACUCGCCCUCCAAGGGCUCCAAUAGCACAUCUAUAAAAUAAAGAUAAUACUCUGGCUCUCCUACUCCCCCGCUUUACUUUAUAUAGGCCUUCUGAGGUUGUAACAAGUACAAGUAUGGUUGGAAAAGAAAGAUAAUAAUUUUGUAUAAAAAGUAAGAAUAUUAUAGUUUUAAUAGUUUCAUUAUAAUUUUCAAAUGAAGUUGACGUGAUUUUGAGAGGGACACUAAGUCCAUGAAAGAAACUCAGCUCUGCUCCUUCCUAGCAAUGCAACGUUGAGUGAAUUAUAACCUCCUUGAACCUCAGUUUCCCUAUGUAGAUAAAGAAUGAAAAUGCUCAGAGCAACUAUGACAGUUAGACGGGAUAAUAUAUAUAAAGGACUGAGCUUAGUGCCUGAUGCUUGACAGAAGCAGUAAAUGCAGAUUUCUAUAGCUCCACAUCCUUGCCAGAACUUAGCAUGAUCCAGUUAUCAAUUUUUACCUGUCAAAGGUGAGAAACAAAAUGUUAUUCUACUAAAAUAAGAAUUUAGUUUUAGUUUCAAAGACAGAGUGUGUCAGUCCAGGUUCAACUAGAGAAACAGACCCAGAAGGAGAUGCAAAUUAAGAUAUUUUGGUGAGGAAAUGGCUUGUACAACUGUGGAGACUGGCUAGCAAGCUUGAAAUCCACAGGGCAAACUGUCAGGAAGGACAGGCAGUGGCAGCAGAAAUAGGAAGUACGGAAGAGAUUUGAAAGCCAUUGCUAGUCAGUAAUUAAGUGGCCUAAUAUGAAAAGGAUUGAGAAAGGAAGGGGAAGAAUGGGCAGGAUCAAGGAUGUGGUACCCUUUUCUCCUUGGUAGACUGGGUAGAUAUGUCAUCAUUGAGAAGAGAGAUGCCUGGAGAGAGGAAAGAAUAGGCUUUGGGCAAGGUAAUGAAUUUAUUUUUUAGCAUAGCUGAGUGUAAGAUGCCUGUGGAACACUAGGCAUCUUACCCAAACAGGACUACUUGGUAGAAGGUUGGAAUGAAAACUUUCAGCUCUGUAGAGAAGUCGGGGAGUUGGUUCUGUAGAGAAAGCUUAAUGAAGCAGAGCUACUUAAUUACAGUUUUUUUCUUUAUGUAUAUGUACACAGUGUUUGUGCUAAGUGGCCCUGCUAUAGGGUAUGGUGUUGUGAUAGCUUUAAUAAUGUUAUGUAAGUGUCACUAUUCUGUGAUUAUUUUUGCUGCUGCAAUAAUUUGGCCCAGGGCAAAGACUGCUUUCCUGGUCCUUUUUUUUUUUUUUUUUUUUUGAGACGGUGUCUCGCUCUGUCCCCCAGGCUGGAGUGCAGUGGUGUGAUCUUGGCUCACUGCAACCUCUGCCUCCCGAUUUCAAGCGGUUCCCCUGCCUCAGCUUCAGCCUCCCGAGUAGCUGGGACUACAGGUGUGCGCCACUGUGCCUGGCUAAAUUGUGUGUGUGUAUAUAUGUUUUUUUUGUUUUUGUUUUAGUAGGGACAGGUUUUGCCAUGUUGGCCAGGCUUCUCAAACUCCUGACCUCAGGUGAUCCACCCGCCUCGGCCUCACAAAGUGCUGGAAUUACAGGCGUGAGCCACCGUGCCCAGCCUCCUGGUCCCUUUUUAUAGGGACGAACUCACCUUAGUAGACUUUCCAGAUUCCAAGAAGCUAUUGCAAAGGUUGAGUCCUCAAUAGGAACUCCAUACGUGGAUACAUGGGAAGGCUCUGUCUCCCUGAGGAAAAACCAGAUGGAGUUGUCCAUUUCUGCAGAGUGACCUGAAAGCACAUAGCACCACGUAUGAUUAAUGACUUUGUGUAGCAGCUCACUGCCCCAGUAAACAAGGCCAGCCCAGUCACAUUGCCUGGGAAGAAGCACUGUGUGCUCUUCCUCAACCCUAGACCUCGUCUUAACAGGUCUACAGAUAACAGAUGGGGGUGUGGUGCCUUGGGAAAUACAGGAGCAAGGGGAAGGAGAAGAAAUGAACAUUCACUUAACAUUUCUCAUGUGCCAAGCAGUGUGUUGGGCACGUUCAUGAUGAUAAUGAUGAAAACAGUGACAGCUAACACUUACUGAUUGUUUGCCUUGGCGCCAAGCACUGUUCAUGUAUGGUAUUUUUUUUUCUAUUUAGUCAUCACAACCACCAUAUGAAGUGGGUACUAUUGUUUGCUAUGUUUUACAAGUGAGGAAAUCAGGGCAGAGAUUAAAUGAGUUGCCUAGGGUCACACAAUUAUGUAGUAGUAUAUAUCUAAGGUGGGACUUGAAAAAUGUUCCUGAGCCCACAGUUCCAGACUCCGUGCUACUACUCUCUGAUACUGUCGCAGCCACUUUCCCCUCCCUGGUCCUGUCAUGCAGAGGGGCAAGACUACAGAGUUCUUUCUCUGAUAGUUCUCAUGGAUUUCUGUCUUCACUUUAUUGGGUGAGUGGCUUAUGGGAAGCACUGAGCGAGAAUUAGGAGACCUGGGUUCUUAUCCUACCCACGGUCUGACCUUGGACCUCAGAUCUAACCCUCACAUUCUUCAUCUGUAAAAUGGAGAUACUAACAUCUACCAGGGUAUUAUGAGGAUCAGAUGAAUAAAUUGCUAGGAAAGUGUUUAUGUAAAUGCUGAGAGUUACCCUGUUGCAUCUGUACCUACUUCUUUGCUUUUCAGAAUAUCUUCUUUCCUGUUACCUUCCCUGACCCUGAUUCCUUUUGUCCUUUAUUAUGAUUUAUGACAUUUUUAUCACUUAAAAGUCUGUGAUAAUCAUGCUUAAGGCAGGAGGCCACUGAAAUUCUUACAUAAAUAAUUCCACCUACCUGAGCCAAAUGGAGGGGGUGAAGUGGGGUGGUGUGUAGCAGAUUUAGCAGCUGCUGAAGCUAUAACCAAGAGAAGUCUCCUUGUCAGUCACAGGAAUGAAUCAUUCAAAUGGCUGCCUUGCUGGGUCCUUCCCAGAGCCAGAAGGUAAAUUAGGGAGCAAUGUUGCUUUCAUUACUCAUUAAGCUUAAAAUGAAGCUCUGCCUCUUUGAAAUGUAGCAAGGAUUUCUGUUUGAAAGAGCAUGGGUUCGGGAGUCAGACUGACCUGAGUUCAUUCAAUUCCCAGUAUUGCCACUUAGUAGCUGAAUGACCUUGGGCAAGUCAUCUUACCUAACUGGGCCUCAGUUUCCUCCUCUGUACAUGCAUCCCAAGGUUAUUGUGCAGCACAGAUGAGAUCAUGGGUAUAAAGGGCCCGGCAUGGUACCACACACUCAUUAGACUCUCAGCAGUUUUUACUUUGCUGUGUCUCCAAGCUGUGGGAAUGAACACCUUAGGGAGGUAGAUUUGAUGGGGAGUGAAACAACCUGGUUUCCAGAGUGCAAAAGCAGAGAACUCAGUAAUAGACAUUUGAAUCACAGGUCUAUUUUUAGUUCAAUCCAGCCUAAGAUUUCAAAAUGUGGGUUCUUCCUUGUGUCCCUUCAUCCUUUCUGUGUAAGCAGUGGGGGUGGGGUUGUCCAGCUUCUCUGAAGGCACGUACUCCUGCCAUUUCAGUCAUAUCUUUUUCCUCAUUAGUGUCCAGCACAGUCACCUUGGAUACAUCAGCUUAAAAAUCUGCAAUAAUGCAUGAAUGCAAGUGUUUUACUCUAGUCUUCAGCAAGAUUCUGUCACUGCCACGCCAGCCUUUAACUCUCCAACUUUUAAAACUUCGGAGAAAUUUCAUCCAUAACCCUCAUCCAUGUUUCUAGUAUGGCUGACUUCAUGACUUUGGGGAGCACAGCAGUAAAUACUUUUCUACCAGGUCCUGUCUGUCCCUUGCCUUCUCAAAAUGCACAUAUCCCCACACAGGGCCCCACAGUCACAGAGCAGCCUCAUGUGCGGGGGCUCUAUAGAGCAUCCUUGUACUCAUGUGUCUUACAGAAGAGGGAUGCAAACUACUAGAUACACAGGAGACACAUAAUAAUUAAUGUUUCUUCAUUUCUUCCUUGCAACAGCUCUCUGGUAAGUAGGAAUGUGGUUUCAAGGUUAAGGGCACUGCAUUUCAAAUCAAGGGGACCAAGGUUUGAAUCCUAACUCUGUAACUUAACAGUUAUAUGACCUGGUACAAAUUAUUGAACUCCUCUGAGCAUAGGUUUCCUCUUCUGUCAGCUGGAGAUAAUAGCACCCGUCUCACAGGACUGUAAGGAGGAGUGAAAGAAUACAUGCAAAGCCCUCAGCACAGGGCCAGCACACGGUACAGAUAUAUACAUAGUAAUUGUGACAGUUUCACAGCAGAGGAAAUACUGCCCUAGGGAGGUUAGCUAAUUUAUCUAAGGUAGGUAUCAUCCCUAUUUUAUGUAAAAGGACAUCGAGGCUGAGUCAAGCAUGUUGUCCAAUGUUAUAUAGUGAAUAAGCAGCAGAAUGUGAACUACAACCCAGGUCUCCUGACACCUCAGCCAGGUCUCCUAACAUUUCACCAGAAACCUCUGGAAAACUGAAAUAAAUGUCCCCCAGCCCAUUUACAAUUGCCCCCCUGGUGGUGGAAUCCAAGCCCAGCUUCCCUUUUGCUGAAUCCUGCUUUCUAGAAAUAGGCUGCCAGUGAAAGAUGUGUGCAAGUGUAUAUAGAAAUGCAUACAUAUAUGUGAUAGAGUGGGAAAAUAUCCCAGGGAGCCAUGAUUACCAGAGUACUCCAAGAAUGCAGUAUUUUGGUUAAUGGAUUUUUCUCAGAGUAUUAACCUCUUGGUUUCAGGCCUUAUUGAAAGUCAUUAUGAAAUGCAUUGCAAACAUUCACUCUCUGAUGCUAGAAGGAGCUGUCUAGUGAGCGUAAUUAAAUUCUCUUUAAGUGACAGAGGAUCUUGGCAGGAUGUCCAUUUAUCACCAGAAUGAUCAGUUGUGCUGUUCAGGACUCUAAUAACAACCCAUAUGUCUGUCUGGGUCUUUUACACUCAUUAUAACAUUUAAUCAUUGCAACAGCCCUGUAUGUGUACGUGUGUGUUGGGAGUAAAGGGCAGGAUGGGAAGAUGAUUAUCCCCAUGUUGUUACUGAGGAGGCUAGGAUUUGGAGAGCAUGAAUGUCCUGUUAGGCAUCUGCUAUGGUUUGAAUAUGCUCCUCAAAAAUUCCUGUGUUAGAAACUUGGUCCCCAGUGUAACAGUGCUGGGAGUGGGGCCUUUGGAAGCUGAUUGGGUCAUGGGGGAUCAACCCUUAUGAAUGGAUUUAUGUCAUUAUUGUGGGAGUAGGUUAGUUAUUGCUGGAGUGGCUUUGUUAAAAAUAUAAGCUCUCUCUCGCAUGUGUUCUCUUCUCCUUCCACCUGUCCACCCUAGCAUGACCCUCACUAGAUACCAGCACCAUGCUCUUGGACUUUCCAGCCUCCAGAACUGUGAGCCAAAUCAACUUCUUUAUAAAUUAUCCAGCCUGUGGUAUUCGGUUAUAGCAACAGAAAAAAAGACCAGGAGAAGAUCAUGUAUCUUGAAAGUAACAGAGAUAGAACUGAAAUGACAUUUGCUGAGACAUAAUAUAGUAAAGCAGAAAAAAACAUAGAUUUUUGAGUAAGACAUACUUGAGUUUAAAUCCUGAUUUUGCCACUUACUGAUGGUAUUGACCGUGAAUAAAUUAAUCUCUCAGGUCCUAAGAUUCCUCAUCUGUAAAAUGGGUCAAAUAAUAUUUCCCUUGCUGGGGGUAAUUUUAAGGAUUCUAAAUAAUGUAUAUAAAGCAACCAGCAUUGUGCCUGGUCAGAGUAGGUCCUCAGCACAUGGAAGCUAUUAUUAUUCUGUCUCCUGGUCCUGUGCUCUUUCCAGUCUACCAAGAUGUCUACUACUGUAGAUAUAGAAGGUACAAGGGAUUGGCCUUACCUGUCUUCAGCCCAUCAAAUGCUAGAAGUCUUUUCAUUAGCCUCAAGGGUGGGGUUGGGGGGGUUGUUUUAUCCCUUUCUAAUAACAGAAGCUGGAGGCAGCUUUUAUUGUAUAGGUAAAACUUAAAUAAUUUUAUAUCAAUACCAGAGCUGCUGCAAAGCAAUAAAGUAAGUAUCACGUAUGACUCUUGUUGAUAGUAAGUGCCCAGAGUCAGGAAAUGCUUUUUGGAUUUUAAAAAUAUGCAUAGAAUUUGACUAGGAGAACAAGAGAUACUUCAUGUAGGAUCAACGGUGUGGAGGUAAGACAAUGUAAGAUUUGCUCAGCUUGGCUAGAACAAAAAUUGUCAUUGGUAGGGGAGCAUACAUGAUAAGGAUGGAAAAAUAGACUCGUAUAUAGAGCUUCACAUGUGCAUGUAAACACACACAUGUUACUCACAUCUCCUAUGCAUGUACAUUGCCAACCUAAAAUACUUAGAAUUGAUUGGAAGCAUUGGGUGAAUAGAUAUUAUUUCAUCUCUCUAUGAUUUGUAGAAAAGCAAUGUGGUCAGAAGAAAGAGAGCUAGAGUGGGGGUUGGGAGACCCAGAUGUUGCUCUUGGUACCGCCCCAUUCGACUGUAUAAUCUGGACAAGACAUGGAACCUCUUUGGGCCUUAUCUCCUCAUUUAUAAAAACAUCUGUGCCACUUUUGGAAAAUCCUUUGGAGCUAUUAUCAAGAGCCUUGAAGAUGUCCAUUCACUUUCAUUUAUUAAUUCAUAUCCUAGCAUUCUUCUCUAAGGAAAGAUCUUAAAUAUGGAAAAAAACUUUAUGGUUAAAGAUGUUCAUCAUAGUCUUUUUAUAAUUUAGUAAAAUUAGGAGCUACCUAAUUUUACUAACAUUUGGUAAUGGAUAAAAGAUGACCUAUCUGCUUCACUAAUUUGUAGUGUUUAUUAAGUAAGAAUUGCAGCAUUGGUCAUGUAAAAAUGAAAACAAAAAGGCACAUAUGAAAAAUAUACUGGGAAAUAUACUUUCCAGUGUAGGAAGCAUUGUUGAUGUUAUCCACACCCUUCAUGAUCCAGACCCAGAUGUUCACACCAGCUGUCUUUGUGCCACCACUAUUUACUGUAUAUGGUGACCUCACUAUGGUGACCUUAGGACAUUUUCCUAACAAAUACCUUUCAUCCCUGUAUGCUUUUGUAUGUCUGGUUCAUUCCUCCUGAAAUUCCCUUUACUCCCUUGUCUCGCCAUGAAUAUCUGCUCUUCUUCUAGUCCAGCUCUGCAAAUUUCCCUGACUUCCUAGGUGGAAUCAGUUGCUCCUUCAUCCUUCUUUCUAUAAAAUUUGUAACUUGGCUCUAACACAUAUGUCCUCUGUUACAGUCUUCUUGUUUGUUUCCAUCUCUGCACAUAGACUGGGCCUUCCUUAGGGUCAGAAUUGUGUUAUCAACAAAUCCCUAGGAUUCAGCAAAGGGCCUGGCAUUUAAUAAUCACUCAAUAUAUGAUUGAAUUUUUACUUUUUUAUUUUGAUUUUUUGCUUUUCCAUGUUUUCUGCAUAUUUUAUAAUGACUAUGCAUUGUGCUUAUAAUGGAAGAAAAAUAGUAGUAAUUCAUUUACUCAUUUACUUUAACAAGGUGACUGACCUAGUUCAGAGGUUCUCAAACUUGGCAGUUCAUCAGAAUCACCUGGAGAGCUUAUUAAAUUGCAGAUACCCUGGCCCCUAGACAGACUUCUUGAGUCCCAGUCUCCCGGAUAAGGACCUGGAAUCAGUAUUAUUAACAGGCUACCAGUUAUUGGGAUGCUCAGCCAUGUCUGAGAACCUUUGACCUCAGUACUGCUAAAGCCCUUUCAGCUUAAAAUCUUCCUAAUUCUUUGAUUGGCCUUCUGUCCCUUGCUCCCCCUGCUAUGAGAGGCUUUAGCUGGAGGGCAUGUGGAGCAACAGGCCAUACAAUGGAGAAUACCUGUACUAGCUUCAUUAUUGGGCUCCUCUUCUGUGCCAAAGACUGCUUUGUAAAUAGCGUUUUAAAAUAUCUAUACAAUCAUACUUUAAGGUCAGUUUUAUUUUCUCCAUUUUACAGAUGAGAAAACUGAGGCAAAGAGAAGUUGUGACUUUCCCAAGGUCAAAUAAGAAAGCAUUGGAUGCUGUGUUUCAAUUCAGUUCUGUCAGACUUCAAAACUGGAUCUAGAAUUUCCCUCACUGCCCCUCCCUGUCCCCCUUCCCCCCAAAUAAAGGAACCCCAGCAGGGUCACGUACAGCCCUGCUGAGUGCA